UACGGAGGGAGCUAGCGUUGUUCGGAAUUACUGGGCGUAAAGCGCACGUAGGCGGCUUUGUAAGUAAGAGGUGAAAGCCUGGUGCUCAACACCAGAACUGCCUUUUAGACUGCAUCGCUUGAAUCCGGGAGAGGUGAGUGGAAUUCCGAGUGUAGAGGUGAAAUUCGUAGAUAUUCGGAAGAACACCAGUGGCGAAGGCGGCUCACUGGACCGGUAUUGACGCUGAGGUGCGAAAGCGUGGGGAGCAAACAGG
This 253-nucleotide ribosomal RNA is filed under the name uncultured bacterium. RNAcentral's name for it is "partial 16S ribosomal RNA". It matches the Rfam family "Bacterial small subunit ribosomal RNA", at positions 524 to 776 of the family's 1533-position model. The record is from RNAcentral.